UACGUAGGGGACAAGCGUUAUCCGGAUUUACUGGGUGUAAAGGGAGCGUAGACGGCAAGGCAAGUCUGAUGUGAAAACCCAGGGCUUAACCCUGGGACUGCAUUGGAAACUGUCUGGCUCGAGUGCCGGAGAGGUAAGCGGAAUUCCUAGUGUAGCGGUGAAAUGCGUAGAUAUUAGGAAGAACACCAGUGGCGAAGGCGGCUUACUGGACGGUAACUGACGUUGAGGCUCGAAAGCGUGGGGAGCAAACAGG
This 253-nucleotide ribosomal RNA is filed under the name Fusicatenibacter saccharivorans. RNAcentral describes it as "partial 16S ribosomal RNA". It matches the Rfam family "Bacterial small subunit ribosomal RNA", at positions 524 to 776 of the family's 1533-position model. The record is from RNAcentral. Lineage: Bacteria; Bacillati; Bacillota; Clostridia; Lachnospirales; Lachnospiraceae.